AGCAUAUGAUGAUUUUUUUUCUCACGAUGGUCUUCCAAGCUUGAGAGCCUUGACGAGACUGCCGUAUGGCUUUUGCUGAUUGCUGAGCU
Molecule: non-coding RNA, 89 nt
Organism: Xenopus laevis (African clawed frog)
Lineage: Eukaryota; Metazoa; Chordata; Amphibia; Anura; Pipidae
Source: Rfam